UCGUCUGUCGUCCGUGUGAAUCUGUCAUAAGUGUCAUACCAUUCUUUCAUUUUCUUUACAUAUUCAAGGUUGUCAAAAUAUUCAGAUUUCUAAAAGGAUUAUUCGUUUUAUUUAGUAAUAUUUAAAUCUCACCCAGUAGGUUGUAUUCAGAUUGUUAAAAAAACUUCUAACUUAAUUCCAGUGUCUCAUUAACUUAAACUAUGGUAAAAUACGUGACAAUUUCGGUUCUAAACAAAAAUUGUAUUAUAUUAUGUUUCAUUUUAGGUUUAACACAAGCCUAAACAACAUGAAGUGAACAAUAUUGUAUACAGAGAUGUCAGUGAUCUUCAGGCCAUGUGGUUGCGGACUGCUAGUAUCUGGUGGUGGAUGACUAAUUUGCUUAUCUCUUUAUUCUGGUGAAGGGAUUCUUGAAAUUACUGAAGCCAUUACUUGAGAUCAUGUUAAUCCCAAACACAAUUUAAUAUGAGUGUCAGCAGUGCAAGUGAAGAAAUGCUUCAAGUGCCGUUCCCGAGGAGACCUAGGCAGCUGUAAGGAUCCAUUCCUCUACGGCAAUGUGACAACCUUGAACCCUGGGGCGGGG
Macrosteles quadrilineatus (aster leafhopper) is the source of this 580-nucleotide long non-coding RNA. RefSeq lists it as uncharacterized. The record is from RefSeq and is a predicted model, not a curated record. The transcript is spliced from 3 exons. NCBI's taxonomy places the organism in Eukaryota, Metazoa, Arthropoda, Insecta, Hemiptera, Cicadellidae.